RNAcentral lists this ribosomal RNA (467 nucleotides) under uncultured bacterium. RNAcentral describes it as "partial 16S ribosomal RNA". It matches the Rfam family "Bacterial small subunit ribosomal RNA", at positions 28 to 506 of the family's 1533-position model. The record is from RNAcentral.
GACGAACGCUGGCGGCGUGCUUAACACAUGCAAGUCGAACGGAAAGGCCCUGCUUUUGUGGGGUGCUCGAGUGGCGAACGGGUGAGUAACACGUGAGUAACCUGCCCUUGACUUUGGGAUAACUUCAGGAAACUGGGGCUAAUACCGGAUAGGAGCUCCUGCUGCAUGGUGGGGGUUGGAAAGUUUCGGCGGUUGGGGAUGGACUCGCGGCUUAUCAGCUUGUUGGUGGGGUAGUGGCUUACCAAGGCUUUGACGGGUAGCCGGCCUGAGAGGGUGACCGGCCACAUUGGGACUGAGAUACGGCCCAGACUCCUACGGGAGGCAACAGUGGGGAAUAUUGCAUAAUGGGCGGAAGCCUGAUGCAGCAACGCCGCGUGCGGGAUGACGGCCUUCGGGUUGUAAACCGCUUUCGCCUGUGACGAAGCGUGAGUGACGGUAAUGGGUAAAGAAGCACCGGCUAACUACGU